RNAcentral lists this ribosomal RNA (2046 nucleotides) under Triticum aestivum (bread wheat). RNAcentral describes it as "partial small subunit ribosomal RNA". Lineage: Eukaryota; Viridiplantae; Streptophyta; Magnoliopsida; Poales; Poaceae. The record is from RNAcentral.
AUGGCGGACCGAGCGGAGUCGUCGUCGUCGAGCGGGACAGGGAAGAAUCUCGAGGAACUGCUGCAACACCUGGAUCUCCAGGAUGACGAACUUGAUGGUGUGGUCGUAGGGGAGGAGGAGGUAAAGAAGUUCGAAGCAGAUGCCAGGUGGCUGGCGAUCGGGAAAGUGAACACUACUCGCAUCUUCAGUUCAUCAGCGAUGUUUGAGUGCAUGAAAUCCAUCUGGUCACUGGCGCACGUGCCGAAGUACAGAGAGGCGGGAGAAAAUCUGUUUAUCUUCCAGAUGUUCUGUCUGGGGGAUUGGAAGAGGGUGGUGCACGGAGGGCCAUGGCUUUUUAGGGGGAUGGGGAUGCUGAUCGAGGAUUACGAUGGGAAGAAGGAACCAACAUCUUUUGAUUUUGAUGGAUUAUACGUGUGGGUUCAGAUCCAUAACAUACCAGAACUCUACCGCAAAGCGGAGGUUGUUGAUCAACUCGCCCGCCGCAUUGGAAGGGUGAAAGAAGUCCAGCUUGCUCCUCGUUUGUAUUAUGAGGGAGAUUAUGUUAGGGUUCGAGCUAGGGUCCUUGUCAGCAAACCUCUCACACGGGUUACGCCUCUGAAUGUUGUAGGAGAGGGAAGACUCCGCCUCCCGGUGAAGUAUGAGAAGAUCCCCUAUUUCUGUAAGGUUUGUGGCUUCAUGGGUCACAACCACAAGGAGUGCGGUGAUGGUGUUUGGGAGGAGAAGGAUAAGCAGUGGGGCAGCUGGAUGUUGGCACAAAGAAGGGAGGUUGCACCAGAGCAGCAAGAAGAGGAUGAUGUUAUUAGCCCUCUGAAGACUGGGGCUGAGAGGCAGGAGACGCCCAUCGCUGAAACUGCUAGGAGAAACCUGAAUCUUGUCUUGUCGGACAGCUCGGCUACUGCGGAGGAUUUGAUGAGGAGCAAGGCAACAGAUAUUGCUGACACCACUUUGGCCGUCCCACCACCACCUCCUGCUUAUGUCUCACCAAGGGAUGCCAAGAAAGCAAAGAAGACAGGAUUGCUGGCAGCGACAAAACAACAACGUACAGGUUGGCUGGAGCAUAAUGGCGGUCACUCCAACGUCACAGCUGAUAGUCGUUCAUGGGCCAGACUUUGGGGCGCAGCGGUUCCCUCAAAAGUAUGUGUCUUUGCAUGGAGACUUGCCAAAACCUCUAUACCCACGGGGGAUGUUCGACAACACAGAAGCAUGGCCGACUCCGCUGAAUGCUCUAUCUGUCACGCGGCGGUGGAUACGUGGCGUCACGCUCUUUUUGACUGCCAUAUGGCUCGGUGUGUUUGGGCUCUCGCUGAUGAAGAAAUCACUGAAACAAUCAUCUCUAAUCGGACGGACGAUGCUAAGCUAUGUAUGUUUUGGUUAGUGGAUACCCUUCCCACGGUGGACCUGGCGCGGGUGCUUGUCACGAUGUGGGCAAUCUGGUGGGCGAGACGCCGAGCUAUCCAUGACGAGCAGUUCCAGAGCCCCCUCAGUACCCAUGUUUUCAUCACCAAAUUCAUGGCGGAGCAUGAUCAAAUCCCAGAGAAGGGGGCGCACACGAAGGACCUGCAUGCGCAAUCGAAGGACUUGCAUGCAAUAUCCAGGGGCAUGCGCGCAAUGCCCAGGGACCCACAUGUAACUACGGGCGCAGGACAGCCGAUGCGGUCUGCAUGGCUACCGCCAGAACUGCACGAUACCAAGAUCAAUGCUGAUGGAGGCUUCUCCAAGAUUGGCGACAAGGGCGCUUCCGCAGUAGUGUGUCGAGACAGAAACGGGAACUACCUUGGGGCUUCAGCGAUCAUUGUCGAAGGCCUCCUGGAUCCGGUGAUACUCGAAGCACAAGCGUGUAGUGAGGCGCUAGCGCUCGCUACAGACUUACAAGUCCAGUCCAUAUGUGUGGCCACAGAUUGCCUAGAAGUGGUGACAAGGAUCAAGGAUGACUCCCCAUGCAAGUUUUUCCUAAUUCUGCAAGAUAUCAAGCACCAGAGAAGAGCUUUCAGGGCAGUAGAGUUUAUCCAUGAGAGUAGAAACAUAAUGAAGAGGCUCAUGCUUUAG